AAAUGAGAAGCAAACCUUGCAAUCAGUUUCGACCUGAUCCUAGAUAAAUCAAUUUAUCCUCAUUUU
RNAcentral lists this transfer RNA (66 nucleotides) under Microcerotermes parvus. Its description in RNAcentral is "tRNA-Arg". Lineage: Eukaryota; Metazoa; Arthropoda; Insecta; Blattodea; Termitidae. The record is from RNAcentral. RNAcentral also lists the same sequence under 1 other name.